Molecule: ribosomal RNA, 460 nt
Filed under: uncultured bacterium
Lineage: Bacteria
Description: partial 16S ribosomal RNA
Rfam family: Bacterial small subunit ribosomal RNA
Source: RNAcentral
CAGACGGGAGGCAGAAGGGAGGAAGAGGGGGAAAGGGAAGAGAGGAGGAAGAAGAGAAGGAGAGGGAAGGAUGACGGCCCUAGGGGGGGUAAACUUCUUUUAUAUGGGAAUAAAACGUUCCACGUGUGGGAUUUUGUAUGUACCAUAUGAAUAAGGAUCGGCUAACUCCGUGCCAGCAGCCGCGGUAAUACGGAGGAUCCGAGCGUUAUCCGGAUUUAUUGGGUUUAAAGGGAGCGUAGGUGGAUUGUUAAGUCAGUUGUGAAAGUUUGCGGCUCAACCGUAAAAUUGCAGUUGAAACUGGCAGUCUUGAGUACAGUAGAGGUGGGCGGAAUUCGUGGUGUAGCGGUGAAAUGCUUAGAUAUCACGAAGAACUCCGAUUGCGAAGGCAGUUCACUGGACUGCAACUGACACUGAGGCUCGAAAGUGUGGGUAUCAAACAGGAUUAGAUACCCUAGUAGUC